Molecule: long non-coding RNA, 1713 nt
Organism: Salvia splendens (bonfire salvia)
Lineage: Eukaryota; Viridiplantae; Streptophyta; Magnoliopsida; Lamiales; Lamiaceae
Exons: 2
Source: RefSeq, a predicted model, not a curated record
CCGAAUUCGAUUAAACUCAUAACUUCUAGUAGGGACUCACUCCCCACUAGGGCGAUCAGAUAGGCACAUCCACAAAACAAAAUACGGCAUAACACAAUAUAUUUGGAAUUUAAUCACAUAACUCAUACUUGAAAGAUAUUGCGUAAAUUUAAAAGUAAGCCUACACAAUAAUGUAGGAUGGAAAGCCCACCUCAAAUGCUUAACUCCUCAAACCACUUUCAGUUCCCAACCGCAAUAUCGUGCACAAGUUCACCAUUUUUGAAACCGCAUGAUAUGCAAAAUUAGACUUUACUAAAUAAAUAAAUUUACAAUGCAUGCAUCCUAAGUGUGUGUUCAAAUUACCCUUCAUCAUUACUACAACUAAACAUACUGAUGUAAGAUAAAUUUCAACAUCAGUUCAAAAAUUAUUCAUGUUCUUGGGCUGGAGGAAACAAAUAGCUCCACCAAACAACCAAAAGUUCAACCCAUUACCAAAACUCCAAACUGCCGUUGAAACACAAUUAUAAUCAAACAAUUACCAAAACUCCAAACUGCCGUUGAAACACAAUUAUAAUCAAACAAAAUAAAGAAGCCAGAAAUUAAUAUUAUACUCCCUAUUCAACACAUUGCAAACAAUUAAAAAAAAGAAAGUAAGUACUGCAAACUCCCAGCCAUCACAACGCAUUUGUCUUCAUUCUCAUAACCCUCUCUCUGUAACUCACUUUCUUUCUAACAUGUGCUCCCCAGAACCACCAAACUCGGCUCCCACCAUAUCUCUCUCAAUUCAAAUUCUACAAACAUACACCAAAUUCGCAAUUUCCCACACAAAACAGAAAUUACAGAUCCCAAAACAGCGCACACCCUCAACUCUCUCUCACCGUCUGCUGUCUCCGUUCACUAACUGCGGCCGCUGCCUCUCCUUUUCACCGUCGCCGCGGUCUGCCGUCACUGCGGAAUCCAGCAGCCGCUGCCCUCUCUUUUCUCAAGCAGGGUUUAUUAACGAAUUGGCAAACUAUACUAUUCAAAGAGGGCCAUAGCACUUCAUCGGGAAAUUAAAGAUUAGAGUUUGAACAUUGAAAAGGACUCUCAAAAGAUUUCAAAGUGUUGUAUUAAUUUCAUGGGAGUGAACUAAUAUGAAUAUGAAAAAUGCUAUGGAGAAAGAAACGUGGGACUUGAGUAUACCUCUAAUUUGAUGGAUCAAAAUUUGUGGAACAACAAAUUCUGGAAUUCACGGCUGCCCUACUCCUUUUGCUUUCUCAGAAUUUGGAGGAAAGGUAAAAUCCUUUUGCUUUCUCAGAAUUUGGAGGAAAGGUAAAAUUUAUUUGAAACUGGUAUGGACUAGUUGAGAUAUAUAUGGGCGGGAUUGUGAGAAAUAUAUUUGACCAAAAUUUGACUGAUUGACUAGAAUGUAUAAUUAAUAUUUUGGACUUCUGAAAAAAAAUUCCAUAAACUCUCAAAAUAAAAUUAAAUGAUAUUUGGCUAAAAUUCGACGAUCAUCCAAAAACUAACUUAAAAGAAAUAGGAAAAGUCGGGGCGUCACAUGAGUAAUCGAAACAAACAAAAACAGAGACCCCGUUUAACUAGCUACAAACAAUAUAGAUUUAAGGCAUACUAACAAACUCUAUAUAUAUUGUUUGUUGUAUUUCAUUUUAUUCACACCACUCAUAGAAGUUUUAUUUUAUUGAAAUAUGUUGCAACUUUCUCCAUUUUUUAUCCAAUUAUUAAUUUCGUAUU